CCAGACUCCUACGGGAGGCAGCAGUGGGGAAUAUUGCACAAUGGGGGAAACCCUGAUGCAGCGACGCCGCGUGAGCGAUGAAGUAUUUUGGUAUGUAAAGCUCUAUCAGCAGGGAAGAAAAUGACGGUACCUGACUAAGAAGCCCCGGCUAACUACGUGCCAGCAGCCGCGGUAAUACGUAGGGGGCAAGCGUUAUCCGGAUUUACUGGGUGUAACGGGAGCGUAGACGGCAUGGCAAGCCAGAUGUGAAAUACCGGGGCUCAACCCCGGGACUGCAUUUGGAACUGUUAAGCUGGAGUGUCGGAGAGGCAGGCGGAAUUCCUAGUGUAGCGGUGAAAUGCGUAGAUAUUAGGAGGAACACCAGUGGCGAAGGCGGCCUGCUGGACGAUAACUGACGUUGAGGCUCGAAAGCGUGGGGAGCAAACAGGAUUAGAUACCCCCGUA
This 444-nucleotide ribosomal RNA is filed under the name uncultured bacterium. Its description in RNAcentral is "bacterial SSU rRNA". It matches the Rfam family "Bacterial small subunit ribosomal RNA", at positions 331 to 792 of the family's 1533-position model. The record is from RNAcentral.